RNAcentral lists this ribosomal RNA (384 nucleotides) under uncultured bacterium. Its description in RNAcentral is "bacterial SSU rRNA". It matches the Rfam family "Bacterial small subunit ribosomal RNA", at positions 28 to 414 of the family's 1533-position model. The record is from RNAcentral.
GACGAACGCUGGCGGCGUGCUUAACACAUGCAAGUCGAGCGGUAAGGCCCUUUCGGGGGUACGACGAGCGGCGAACGGGUGAGUAACACGUGGGUGACCUGCCCUUAGCUCUGGGAUAAGCCUGGGAAACUGGGUCUAAUACCGGAUAUGACUCCAUGACGCAUGUUGUGGGGUGGAAAGCCUUGUGCGGCUAGGGAUGGCCCGCGGCCUAUCAGCUUGUUGGUGGGGUGAUGGCCACCAAGGCGACGACGGGUAGCCGGCCUGAGAGGGCGACCGGCCACACUGGGACUGAGACACGGCCCAGACUCCUACGGGAGGCAGCAGUGGGGAAUAUUGCGCAAUGGGCGGAAGCCUGACGCAGCGACGCCGCGUGGGGAGUGACGG